GCACUGCCCACCCCCUGCCAGAGCCCCAUCCCCUGUACAGCUCCCCAUUCCCACGCAGCGCCAGCUUGCUCAGCUCCUGGGGCCCCCCUUCCUUCCGCCUAACCCCCCCGGGUGUCUGUUCCCCUGCCCUUACCUAGAGGGCCCCCCCAUGACAGUCCCUCUGGAAGCCCAACGCCCUCACCUUGUCUCCCCCCCCGGCAGCCCCGCCACGACUGACCCUGCUGCAGCCCCUGGUGACGCUGCAGGGGCAGGUCACUCUGCAGUGCCUGGUGAGCGGCUACCACCCCCCCGAGAUCACGGUGCAAUGGCUGCGGAACGGGGAGCCCCUGCUCACCAUGGAGUCAGCCCCCACGAAGGAAGCAGACGGGUCCUUUGCCCUCCGCAGCGGCUACAUCCUCGACCGGCCAGAGAGCAACGCCCAGGCCAACUUCGCCUGCCGCGUGCAGCACCAGGCGCUGACUACCCCGCUGGAGAGCACAGCCACCUGGAUAGUCCCCAGGUGCCCCAAGACGUGUUUAUGGGUCAUCGGACUGAUCCUGCUGGUCUUGCUGGUGCUGCUCACCCUGUGGAUCUUGUACCAGUGCUGUAACAUCAGCAUGUCCUCGAGCCGUGCCCGGGAGUGUUGGCCGGAGGGCAGCGUGACAGCACUGCUCUGCGAGGCGGAGGGGACGCUCUGCGACACAGACAGCCUGACCUGGAGGAGCCAGCGCCAGGGGAAGGAGCUGGGGCCUGGGCAGCCCGGGGAGCUGAACACGCUGAUGCCGAAGCUGGAGCAGCACCGCGUGGUGACGUGGCAGCGCAACCUCGGGCUGGGCAGGCGGCGGCUCACGUCGGUCGUCACCAUCCAGACCCCGUGCGAAGAAGACACUUUCAGCUGCACGUUCCAAGGCGCGAGGGGCAUGAAGCAGAGGCACAUCACAAUCCCCGGCGUGCCAGCGGGUGAGCAGGGCACGGACCGGGGGAAAGGGGCUGUGGGGGUGGCAGAUCAGGGCAGCAGGAGGCUGUGGGGUGCAAGGCUGCAAGGGCAUGUGUGUAUUGGGGUGCCAUGGGGAAACAAGGAGAUUUGGGGCAUAGGGGGCACAGGAUGCAGGGGGAGGGGAAGGGGGUUCUGCGGGAUAUGGGGUGUAGUGGAUGGCACGGAGUCCCCGGGUGAUGCUCUGGAACUGCUCCCCACAAAGCCAGUCAGGACUCUGGGGAGCCUCCUCUCCC
This 1209-nucleotide long non-coding RNA is filed under the name Chrysemys picta bellii (western painted turtle). RNAcentral's name for it is "lncRNA (ENSCPBG00000003745.1)". Lineage: Eukaryota; Metazoa; Chordata; Testudines; Emydidae. The record is from RNAcentral.